CCUACGGGAGGCAGCAGUGAGGAAUAUUGGUCAAUGGCCGGGAGGCUGAACCAGCCAAGUCGCGUGAGGGAAGACGGCCCUACGGGUUGUAAACCUCUUUUGUCAGGGAGCAAGGUGCAGGUCGGGACCUGCUGUGAGAGUACCUGAAGAAAAAGCAUCGGCUAACUCCGUGCCAGCAGCCGCGGUAAUACGGAGGAUGCGGGCGUUAUCCGGAUUUAUUGGGUUUAAAGGGUGCGAAGGCGGAGGCACAAGUCAGCGGGAAAAUCUUUGGGCUAAACCCCGCUGUGCCGUGGGAACUGGGGACCUUGAGUGCGCGAAGGGCAGGCGGAAUGCGUGGUGUAGCGGUGAAAUGCAUAGAUAUCACGCAGAACCCCGAUCGCGAAGGCAGCCUGCCGGCGCGCAACUGACGCUCAUGCACGAAAGCGUGGGUAUCGAACAGGAUUAGAUACCCGUGUAGUC
This 459-nucleotide ribosomal RNA is filed under the name uncultured bacterium. Its description in RNAcentral is "partial 16S ribosomal RNA". It matches the Rfam family "Bacterial small subunit ribosomal RNA", at positions 338 to 795 of the family's 1533-position model. The record is from RNAcentral.